GGAAGGUUGCGCCGAAUGGUAAGGCAGCGGUUUGCUAAACCGUGAGGGUCUUAAAGCCCUCUGUGGGUUCGACUCCCACACCUUCCG
RNAcentral lists this transfer RNA (87 nucleotides) under Candidatus Parcubacteria bacterium. Its description in RNAcentral is "tRNA-Ser". It matches the Rfam family "tRNA". From Rfam's summary of the family: Transfer RNA (tRNA) molecules are approximately 80 nucleotides in length. Lineage: Bacteria; Candidatus Parcubacteria. The record is from RNAcentral.